Colias croceus (clouded yellow) is the source of this 137-nucleotide long non-coding RNA. RefSeq lists it as uncharacterized. Lineage: Eukaryota; Metazoa; Arthropoda; Insecta; Lepidoptera; Pieridae. The record is from RefSeq and is a predicted model, not a curated record. The transcript has 3 exons.
UGUAAAUAGCUGAUAUUUGUACAAAAUGCUCUGAGUGAUCACAAUUAUCACAAAGUGGAAUCAGAUGAGAAUGAAAAUGUUACAGAUAAUAUUAUGUUGGUCAUUGGAAGGGCAGGUGAUGAUUAUCAUGAACAUCC